Molecule: long non-coding RNA, 1103 nt
Organism: Prunus persica (peach)
Lineage: Eukaryota; Viridiplantae; Streptophyta; Magnoliopsida; Rosales; Rosaceae
Exons: 6
Source: RefSeq, a predicted model, not a curated record
UAGGGGAUGGAUGGAUGAUUACCUAAUGAGUUAAUUGGCUUGUUAAUUAUGGACCUUGCUUAAUGUCUGAUUACUGUGGUAUUUUAAUGGAAAUACAAUUUCUACUUUAUUAUUGGUAGAUUACAUCAUUACCAACUUGGAAGAAAGGAAAAAUAACGAACGACUUUCUAUUAAAACCGCGGAGGCUUUGUCCCACAUCGAAGAAUUGUGUAUUUGACGAGUUCUUUAUACACUUUCGCUAAAGACUUAUUACUGUCCCUUCGGGGACAUCCGAUAAAAUUGGAACGAUACAGAGAAGAUUAGCAUGGCCCCUGCGCAAGGAUGACACGCAUAAAUCGAGAAAUGUUGCAGAGGCUUGAGAAGCUAUGAGCAUUUUGCAUUUGAAGUCCAAAUUUUUUUUGCCCUUUUUCUGCCAAAUUUCGAAUUUGCAGAGGCUUGAGAAGCUAUGAGCAUUUUGCAUUUGAAGUCUUCCAUGGUUCGGUGUCUUAGUCUUUGAUCUUCCAGAUGGAAGGGUCGUUUUAGUCAGAGCAAUGCUUAGAUAAGCAAGGAGGUUGGAGGGCAGAUUAGUAUACUAUUUUUGAUGGGUCGGUGACGAUUACCUAUUUGGAGUUGCAGAAUGGGAGUUUGAUUGUGCAGAAGUGGAGAUUUGGGAGCUGGCUUGAUGGGUUGAUUAACGGUGAGGCUUACACUCGAAGGGCCUGAACCUGGCUCACUGUUGUCAAGCUAACACAUUCGGAUAUUCCCGAGGAAGACAGGCUCCUUGAGCUCUCAAAGCUUGCACUCAUGAAUCUUUCGAAAGUCCAUACUGUCUGUUACUUCGAAAACCAUGAAGCUGAUGGAUCGUUCGAAGUGAUUGUCGGAGUUGCUUCAGUUUGAGAGCUAAAAGGUAGUGAAAGCCAUACCUUAGAAAUGAAUGGCUACAUGUACUGAUAAUAAUAUAAAGAGGCUGAAUUAAGAUUUUGUCUGCUACAGUUCAUAGGGGAUGGAUGGAUGUAUGAUUACCUAAUGGGUUAAUUGGCUUGUUAAUUUAUGGACCUUGCUUAAUGUCUGAUUACUGUGGUAUUAUAAUGGAAAUACAAUUUCUACUUUAUUUUUGAUAGAUU